CCUACGGGGGGUAGCAGUGGGGAAUAUUGCGCAAUGGGUGAAAGCCUGACGCAGCGACGCCGCGUGAGGGAUGAAGGUCUUCGGAUCGUAAACCUCUGUCAGCAGGGAAGAACGGUCACUGUGCUAAUCAGCAGUGAAUUGACGGUACCUGCAAAGGAAGCACCGGCUAACUCCGUGCCAGCAGCCGCGGUAAUACGGAGGGUGCGAGCGUUAAUCGGAAUUACUGGGCGUAAAGCGCUCGUAGGCGGUAUGUCAAGUCAAGGGUGAAAUCCCCGCGCUCAACGUGGGAACUGCCUUUGAAACUGGCAAACUGGAGUGUGUGAGAGGAUAGUGGAAUUCCAGGUGUAGGAGUGAAAGCCGUAGAUAUCUGGAGGAACAUCAGUGGCGAAGGCGACUAUCUGGCACAUAACUGACGCUGAGGAGCGAAAGCGUGGGUAGCAAACAGGAUUAGAUACCCGAGUAGUC
This 465-nucleotide ribosomal RNA is filed under the name uncultured bacterium. RNAcentral describes it as "partial 16S ribosomal RNA". It matches the Rfam family "Bacterial small subunit ribosomal RNA", at positions 338 to 795 of the family's 1533-position model. The record is from RNAcentral.